CGUAGGUGCGAGCGUUGUCCGGAAUUAUUGGGCGUAAAGAGCUUGUAGGCGGUUUGUCGCGUCUGCUGUGAAAUCCGGGGCUCAACCCCGGACUUGCAGUGGGUACGGGCAGACUAGAGUGUGGUAGGGAGGACUGGAAUUCCUGGUGUAGCGGUGAAAUGCGCAGAUAUCAGGAGGAACACCGAUGGCGAAGGCAGGUCUCUGGGCCACUACUGACGCUGAGAAGCGAAGCAUGGGAGCGAACAGGAUU
This 250-nucleotide ribosomal RNA is filed under the name uncultured bacterium. RNAcentral's name for it is "partial 16S ribosomal RNA". It matches the Rfam family "Bacterial small subunit ribosomal RNA", at positions 526 to 779 of the family's 1533-position model. The record is from RNAcentral.